This 427-nucleotide ribosomal RNA is filed under the name uncultured soil bacterium. RNAcentral describes it as "bacterial SSU rRNA". It matches the Rfam family "Bacterial small subunit ribosomal RNA", at positions 966 to 1393 of the family's 1533-position model. The record is from RNAcentral.
GAACCUUACCUGGGCUUGAACCGCUAUUGACCAACGGUAGAAAUAUCGUCUUCCCGCAAGGGACAGUAGUAGAGGUGCUGCAUGGCUGUCGUCAGCUCGUGCCGUGAGGUGUUGGGUUAAGUCCCGCAACGAGCGCAACCCUUGUCCUGUGUUGCCACAUCGAAAGAUAGCACUCUCAGGAGACCGCCAGCGAUAAGCUGGAGGAAGGUGGGGAUGAUGUCAAGUCAUCAUGGCCUUUAUGCCCAGGGCUACACACGUGCUACAACGGGCGGUACAAAGCGCUGCAAACCCGCGAGGGGGAGCCAAUCGCAAAAAACCGUUCUCAGUUCGGAUUGCAGGCUGCAACUCGCCUGCAUGAAGCUGGAAUCGCUAGUAAUGGCAUAUCAGAACGAUGCCGUGAAUACGUUCCCGGGCCUUGUCACACCGA